Molecule: ribosomal RNA, 451 nt
Filed under: uncultured Fibrobacter sp.
Lineage: Bacteria; Pseudomonadati; Fibrobacterota; Fibrobacteria; Fibrobacterales; Fibrobacteraceae
Description: bacterial SSU rRNA
Rfam family: Bacterial small subunit ribosomal RNA
Source: RNAcentral
ACGGGAGGCAGCAGUAGGGAAUAUUGCACAAUGGGGGGAACCCUGAUGCAGCCACGCCACGUGUGGGAUGAAGCAUUUCGGUGUGUAAACCACUGUCGGGAGGGAAUAAUGCUUGGUCUCGGCCAAGUUGAAUGUACCUCGAAAGGAAGCACCGGCAAACUUCGUGCCAGCAGCCGCGGUAAUACGAGGGGUGCAAGCGUUGUUCGGAAUCACUGGGCAUAAAGGGAGCGUAGGCGGAGACGCAAGCAGUCUGUACAAUACCGGGGCCCAACCCCGGACCUGCAGACUGGAGUGUGUCUCUUGGAUAGUUCAGGGGCAGGCGGAAUUCCUGGUGUAGCGGUGGAAUGCGUAGAGAUCAGGAAGAACACCGAUGGCGAAGGCAGCCUGCUAAGGAGUCAUCGACGCUGAGGCUCGAAAGUGCGGGUAGCGAACAGGAUUAGAUACCCUGGUA